GUCCAGAUGAAGAUGAUGAUGAAGGUCAUGUUGAUGAAGAUUGUUGUGUGUGUCAGUGAUGAAGUGUUAAACUCACAGCACUAUAAACACUCUCAGAGCACUGAAGCAUCUGAUCAAUAUGCAAACACACUCCAGAUCAUUUACCUGAAGACAGCAGAAACACUGUUUUGUCAUUUAGUAUCUUUGCUAAUAAAUUUCUAUUGAUCAUUUUCAGAAAUAGACACUCCUGAUUUACUUCAUGUUAUUUUGGGUGGAUCUUCUCCCUCUAAACACUGUUUUAAUGAUCAGUUUCAUUCAGACUUUGAUGCUGAGAGCAUUUAAUACCUGUGCUGCAGAUUUGAUAUCAUCAUGAUACUGUAGAACAGGUCAAAGGUCAUCCAAUAGAGAAUGACCAUCUAAAUCUGGCUAAAGAUUUCAUUAUAAAGCAGUUUUUUCUUUUAAAGAUGAAUAUUUAGUGUGUGUUUUCAGCUCAAUCAUGUUGAUGUUGAGAAGAGCUGCUGUUGAGUCUCAUAUCAGUGUGUGUGAGUGUCGUUCGUCUCUUUCUCUGCUGGAGUUUGUGUUCAUUUGAGUGUGACGGAGGUUUUUGUACGACGCUUUCACUAGAAUGAAGCACUGUGGUACACUUUCGGUGGAGGAACUAAACUGACCAUCACUGGUCCCGCAGUGAAGCCCUCCGUGUCUCUGCUGCCGCCCUCUUCUCUGCAGAUCUCUGGAGACUCAGCCGCACUGCUCUGCCUGCUCAGCUCUUACUCUCCACAGGGGCGACGGUGAGCUGGACGCUGGACGGGUCAGAGGUCACCGAGGGGGUUCAGACCAGCACAGAGAGCGAGCGGGACGGACGCUACAGCCGCAGCAGCGUCCUGAGCCUCAGCAAAGCACGCUGGGAAGGCGCGGAUCGCUUCGUCUGCAGAGUAAGACAUGACGGAGCUGAUCACGAGGCCUCGUUCCUCAAGAGCUCCCAGUGCUGAUGUUUCUCCGGUCCAGACGAGCCGUAUCUGAGCGUCCGGCAGGAUUCACAGCAGUCACGUGAUUUACAGCUCAAUACUGAAGCAGUCUUUCAAUGUGCUGCCAUUGCUGUUCAUUCAAUAAAGCUUCUGAACGCGUUA
This is a long non-coding RNA of Megalobrama amblycephala (Wuchang bream), 1106 nucleotides long. RefSeq lists it as uncharacterized. The transcript has 2 exons. The record is from RefSeq and is a predicted model, not a curated record. NCBI's taxonomy places the organism in Eukaryota, Metazoa, Chordata, Actinopteri, Cypriniformes, Xenocyprididae.